CACGCAAGUCGCACGGGAUCAUUUGAGUAGUAAUACAAGAAUGGUUUAGUGGCGCACGGGUGAGUAACACGUGAAUUACAUGCCCUAUAGUGGGGAAUAGCCCAGGGAAACUUGGAUUAAUACCCCAUGGUCUCGCAAGAGUAAAGGUGGCCGCAAGGCUGUCGCUAUAGGAUUGGUUCGCGCCCUAUCAGCUUGUUGGUGAGGUAACGGCUCACCAAGGCUACGACGGGUACCUGGUCUGAGAGGACGAUCAGGCACACUGGAACUGAGACACGGUCCAGACACCUACGGGUGGCAGCAGUCGAGAAUAAUUCACAAUGGGGGCAGCCCUGAUGGUGCAACGCCGCGUGGAGGAUGACGGUCUUCGGAUUGUAAACUCCUGUCAUCUGGGAGUAAGACCUGGCGAUGAAUAGUCGACAGGGUUGAUAGUACCAGAAGAGGAAGGGACGGCUAACUUCGUGCCAGCAGCCGCGGUAAUACGAAGGUCCCAAGCGUUGUUCGGAAUCACUGGGCGUAAAGGGAGCGUAGGCGGCGUGGUAAGUCAGAUGUGAAAUCCCGGGGCUCAACCCCGGAACUGCAUCCGAUACUGCCAUGCUAGAGGAUUGGAGAGGUAGCUGGAAUUUUCGGUGUAGCAGUGAAAUGCGUAGAUAUCGAAAGGAACACUCGUGGCGAAAGCGAGCUACUGGACAAUUCCUGACGCUG
Molecule: ribosomal RNA, 702 nt
Filed under: uncultured bacterium
Lineage: Bacteria
Description: bacterial SSU rRNA
Rfam family: Bacterial small subunit ribosomal RNA
Source: RNAcentral